This 32-nucleotide non-coding RNA is filed under the name Mus musculus (house mouse). The record is from RNAcentral. Lineage: Eukaryota; Metazoa; Chordata; Mammalia; Rodentia; Muridae.
UAAAUGGACUUUGGCCCCAGGUCAAUUCUGGC